UAAAAACGUCUAUUUGAUUUUUUACAUCAAAUCAGACAACAAAUUAAUAUGGUGUUUAAAGAUGAUUUUAAUCUGAGUGAAACAGAAUCAGAAUAUUUUAGUGGUACUGAUGAAACUUCUGAUGAUAGUUUCAAUGAAGUGUCCGAUCCUUUUUACGAGGGAGACAAUGAAAGUAACAGCUACGAUGAACAAAUAAUAAUUUCAGGUUCUGGUUCUUCAACUUAUGAACAAUUAAUAGAUGAUGAUUUUCUCGUUGAAUCUAAACGAGAUGAUUGUUGUAGCACAGGUUGCAGUAUUGACAGUGAAGGUGAAUUCGAAAUAAACAAAGAAAAUGGAAAUGAUGUUGAAGCAAUAUUGGAAGGAAUAGAAGAAUAUACAGAAGAAAGUAGCAGUCAAGAUUCAAGUGAUUCUUUCGACGACGGUUCAGAUUCGGACUAUGAUGAGGAAUUCAUUUCCUUGAUAAUAAGGAACACUAAAUAUCAACUCAAGAAAAUGAUGAUGGCGUUAACUCCAAUGAUGAUGAGGAAAUCAUAAACUUAUACAUUUUUAAACAUACCUUUAUUUCUUUAUAUUACAUACAUACGGUUACAAAUGAAGAACUUUAUGAUAAAUGAAUCGUUAAAAUGGCUGAUUUUAAAAAACGAAAAUUCUACUAUUUUCAUUUAAAUUAGCAAAGAAUGUAUCAGUAUGCCUCAUAGCAAUUAUAACUAUUAUAAGUUUUAAGUGGUACCUAAGAGCGUAGAUAUAGGGUGGGAGGGAUGUAAUUACCCACCCCCAGACAAUAAAAAUAUAAAAUGACCUGAAAUUAAAUUUGUCAGUGCAGUGCAAGAUCCCAUCCGGAGCACAUGCAUAUUGAUAAAGUAUCAGAUUAUUAUUUAAAAGGCGGAAAACGAAUUUAAUUAAAAUUUCACGUGCAAACUCAUUCAGCGCAUCGGAUUUCGAGGCAUUUUUCGCUAAAAUGUCCGAUCCAACUUCAAAAACAUCGCAGAAAAGUACCGAAGAUUCAACGGACGACGAUCCUUCAUUUAAGAAACCUAAAAAUAGAAAACGGAAAAAGAAAGGUAUGGAAAAAACCGACAACAAAAAAGUGAAUGAUAACAAAACUCCUGAAAGAGAAAUACCACAUAUGGAACCACAAAAGAAGAUUCAAGAUAACGACGAAAUCGUGCAUAUGGAAACAGAAACAAUCAACACCACACAAAUCGCUUCUACUUCUAAAGGUCCCCAUACCCGCCAGGAUGGCCUCCAGGCCGGAUCACAUACAAACACAAAUAUCAAAACAAACAUAAAGAAUUACUCAACAAGAAUGCUUGAAAUAAGCAAAGCAGAAUACAAACAUCUUUUCUAUCUCGCGGUAGACGAAAACCUAAUAACAGACAGGAUUAAAAUGGCAGAUGAGUGGAACAAAAAAUUUCCUAAUUCCACAGAUAUUGUUAUAAAAACUAAAUUAGGUUACCUAAUCAAAUCCAAUAAUGAGAAAGAGAAAUUAAUAAAAGUGUUGGAAGAAAUGAAAAAUGAAAAAGUCAUUUCAGGACACAAAGAAACUAAACCCUACAUCCAGGGAAAAGUGAGAACAGAACCACAACAAUCUUUCUCAGUAAUAAUAACAGGUGUUGAAAAAAAUAUAAAGGAUGAAGAAAUCAGUCAACACCUGAAUGAACUGAACUUGAAACACAGAUUCUGCAGAAGAAUCACUUCUAGAGCAUUUAAUACACCCACAACUUAUAUAAGAAUAAUCACAGGUGAAGCUACAACAUCUGAAAAACUUCUCAAUGAUGGAUUGUUCUUCAAAAAUAGACACUACUUGGUAUACACAAGCCAUCCACCUGAACCCAUGCCUGUUCCAUGCAGCAAAUGCUGCCAAUUUGAUCAUAUUACAGAAAAAUGCACCCAACAAGUAAAAUGUAACAAAUGUAAUGGCAAUCACAAAACAACACAAUGCAAAACAAAUCUUGCACCAAAAUGUAGUGCAUGCGGUUCUGAGGAACAUCUUGCAUGGUCAACCAAAUGUCCCAAACACCCCAAAAAACCCAUCGAAGGCAUACCAAACGUUACCAUAGGAACUCUCAACAAAAAAACCAGAGAAAUAGAAGAUUUACACAAAAAAAGCAACAGAAUUCAUGCUCCUCUCACUAUCCAUGACGAUAUCAUUAACACAUACACCAGAAAGUUGAACAAACCCAAAAACACCAACAGAGAUGAACUUCUAGACAAACUGAAAAGAAGAUUCCUCUCACAAUAUAAAAUCGAUACUACGGCAGUCUUUUCAGGCAACCGAAUAUAUAUACUUAUGUUUGAUGUGGAGGAUCCUAACGAACCCUCGCCAACAGAACCAGUAGACAAUAAUAUUAACCGGCAAGUUCAACUCGAAAAUUAAAAUCCUCUACAAUAACAUUAAUAGUUAUACACCAAAAAAAUACCUGAUUAAUAAUUUCAUAGAAGAGAACGAGAUACAAUGUGCAAUGUCUGUAGAAGCCAAAAUAAAAAAAGAUCAUAACAUCGCAUACAGAGACUGGGACGUCAUACAUCGGGUGGGUCACACAGUUGAUAAUACACGUGGAGGUAGCAUUGUACAGUGCCAUCCCGGUUUAAAAAUGGGUAAGAACAAUUCUCCUGCACUGAAUAACAAUUUCAAUGAAACAUUGCAUUUCACAAUCCCUUUCAAAGAAGAUAAAUUACACAUAUUUUUAAUAUAUAUUCAUCCACACUCAAAAAUUGAGGAAACUAUAUUUACGAAAGCAGCUCUGUAUAAAUAUUCAAUAAUAAUAGGAGACUUCAACCCCAACCAAACAAAAAACAAACAAAUAAAUAAAUUUCUUCAAAAUGGUACCUUCAAAAAAUUAAUUACGCCUCCAACGUUUUUAAUGGACAAUAACCCGGACAGUACACCAGACUUAUUACUUUACUCCUCAAAUCUGGAAAAUAACAUCAAAGACAUACUACUUGUACCAGAUCUGGGUUCUGAUCACUUAGCAAUGCUGAUUACGUUAGACUUGGAUACUAUAACUGAAGAGACUGUAGAAAGAAAAACUUUACAAUUUAAGAAAUGUAAGAUUGAUAAAGUGAAUGAAGAGAUGAACAACUUUAUAAACUCUCACAAACAAACAAAUAUGAAUGAAGAUUACAUCACAUUAUUCAAUAACAAACUCUCAGAAUGUAUCCUGAAAUAUACACCUACGACAAAACACCAUCCAUUUCUCCACGUUUUACCACCUUUUAUUGUGAAUAUGAUCAAGAAUAAACGGAAAUUGUAUAGAGAAUACAGGAACUGCCCUAAUCCUAAUUUCAAAACCAAACUGAAUGAAUACAAUACUAGUAUACACAAAAUGAUCAUGCAGUACAAACGUCAUAGGUGGACGGAAGCUUGUAAGUCAAUAAGAGAAGCCAAAGGGAAAAAUUUCUACAGACAAAUAAACAAACUCUCCAAGUACAAGAAAUUUCACAAGAUACCUACUAUUCUAGCCAACAAUAGAGAGUACAAAUCAGAUGAAGAAAAGGCGAACAUCUUUGCAGAACACUUCAAACAGGCAUAUCAAUAUGACAAUGACAUUAACUUUGAUAAUGAAACAGAAAGAAUCGUAGAAACUUGUUAUUUUGAUUACUUCAACAAUAACGAGCGGGAAAGGGAAUCAGAGCAAAUUGAGGAAGCCACGUACUAUGAAAUCCUACAUAAUACCAAAAAUAGUGCGCCAGGGACAGAUAAUAUUCCAUGGAGUAUCGUCAAACAAUUGAACCAACACAUACACGAACACAUAAUGAAGAUAUAUGAAUGGUGUCUGAAUAACCAAACCUUUCCAGAAAUAUGGAAAACUGGUACCAUCAUUCUAAUAGCAAAAACUAAUAAAGAUCAUAAAAAAGUAGAAAACUAUAGGCCCAUAACACUCUUGCCAGUACUAGGAAAGCUAUUAGAGAAAAUAAUUAAAGCUAAACUUGAGGAACACUUCAAAUAUUUCAUUCCCAAAUAGCAAUUUGGUUUCCGCAGAAAGAAAGCAACAGUUCACCCCCUCACAAUUUUCUUCUCAAAUCUACAAAAUGCACAAUUAAACAAUAGGAAAACUGCAGCAGUAUGUAUGGACACUAAUAAAGCAUUUGACAGCAUGUGGAUAAAGGGUUUACUAUACAAAUUGUUCAAGAAAGACACACCAUCAUAUCUUAUCCAUAUAAUAGGUUCAUACCUAAAGCAUAGAAGAUUGAAAAUAAAAAUUGGCGACUCAGAAUCUAACUUCUUCACUCCCAUGCAGGGUACACCUCAAGGAUCCCCACUCUCUCCUCUUCUAUAUAACAUAUAUUGCAGUGACAUUCCCACAAUCCAUAAUACCCAACAAUAUAUACUACAAUAUGCAGAUGACACUUUAGCAAUUUCACAUGGGAAAACAUUGAAAGACUGCAUGAAAAAUCUUCAAGAGCAUGUUAAUAACAUCACAUCAUGGUUUUCAAAGUGGAGAUUGAAGGUUGCUGAAACAACAUCCCUUCGAGCAAUAACCAAAAUGAGACAUCCAAACAACCGACUGCACAAUCCCCCAAAUCACCUUUUAUAUAGCAGAACCAAGGUAGAAGGGCGCCAACCAAGAGGGCGCAUUGAGAAACUCAACAAUAAAUUCAUACAUAGGCUAGAAGAAUUGGACGAUAUAAGUGAUCUCAUGCACGACGAACCAGCAGAUAACCCACGCAGAAAAUUUCCAACUUGCACUUUACUCCAAAAAUUAAGAAGUUACUUAAAUUCCUAAAGUACUCAUGUUUUUUUUUUUUUUUUGUAGAUAUUUAGAAAUGUAUUUCAACCCAAUAUGGGCUGAAGGACUUUGGUCGAUGGCCUGUUGAUAACAUAUCAAUAAAGAUCAGUUAUUAUUAUUAUUAUUAUUAAAUUUGUGAACGAAAAAUUUGGAAAUCGCAGAUUUCAGAUUGCUUUUUGUUGAGGAAAUCACGAUUUCACUGACAGAAUCACAUCAAUAACUUUAUCGCAUUAGAGAACUUAUUAUAUGUUCUGAAGCUGUUAUGCUUUUUUCCUUCUUCUCCGUAUGAAAAUUCAACUCCUCACCAACUGAGGUCUCAAUUAUUUCUACUAUCUUGAAAAUUGUCUAAAAAUGAUGCUGUUUUAAGGGUCUGUGUUCGAUGAUAUCCUUCCCAUUUUCUUUUUUUGUUGUGAAUAUAUGAACUUUCAAAAGUUGAUGUUUGGACUGAAUAUGUAAAUAAAAGAAGUCAACUUGGAAGAAGUGAAAUCUGACAAUUGAAAAGAUAUUUGAAUUGUUUGAUGUUUAGAUGGUGACCAGCCUGGCACAAUACAAAAGACACAAGAAGAAAAAUAUAUCAAUCAUAGAAUUCUAUGAUUGAAAUAAUGAAUCUAAUUUUAUCAAGAAAAUAAUUGAAUUUUGAACAAACGAUUGAAAAACUGCAAUCAAAGUUGCCUCUGUAAAAUUUUUACAUGACUACCAUAUUUAAGCGUUGUUUACAAAUACCUAGACAAGUAGUAACCAACCCUUUUCGAUUUGAAAAUUUAUCAAGAUAUUUUACAGUUAAUAUGACUGCUGUCGUCGACACCGAGCAAAUAAAAACCAAAUUAAUAAAUGAAUUAAGAGCUAGCCACGUGGAAGUCAGAGAUGAUUCUGGUGGAUGUGGAGCAAAUAUAACUUGCAUAGUUGUGGCUGAUAAAUUUGAAGGAGUACCUCUGUUGCAAAGACACAGGUGAUGCAUAUUAAUAAAUUUACACUGUUAUUUCUUCUAAAUACACCUUAUAUUAAUUCAAGAUUGGUCAACAAAAUCCUAAACGAGG
RNA transcript from Harmonia axyridis, 5767 nucleotides. It is a transcript of the gene named dolichyl pyrophosphate Man9GlcNAc2 alpha-1,3-glucosyltransferase, with no coding region annotated. Lineage: Eukaryota; Metazoa; Arthropoda; Insecta; Coleoptera; Coccinellidae. The record is from RefSeq and is a predicted model, not a curated record. The transcript is spliced from 3 exons.